Molecule: long non-coding RNA, 7619 nt
Filed under: Malus domestica (apple)
Lineage: Eukaryota; Viridiplantae; Streptophyta; Magnoliopsida; Rosales; Rosaceae
Description: long non-coding RNA (MDOM_LNC019381)
Source: RNAcentral
AUCCAAGGCGAGCGUGCGGUGUGGUGAAUAAUAUAAGCACUAACACCUAGGGUGCAGAUUAUGAGCUCAACACAUCUCAACAACAACAAUUCAAUGAAUAAAUGAACUCACCUGACUUACCUGUGCCUCCACAGCACCAUGCAACAUGUAUGCAUCAUAUAUCAAUCAUAUAACUCAUGUGAAAUUCACCUUUUCCAAAUAAUUCUAUGCAUGGCAUUUUAAAAACGUUUUCUCAUAUAAAUGCAUUUUCUGGGAAAACAAUAGCAUAUAGGUAAUACGAAAACAAAACUGCCCACUCACUGAUAAGUCGACGGGUCGUAACCCCCGUGGCGUCCCUGGAUGCGGUCGUCCUCGGGAUACGUCUCACCUAUAUGCGAAACAACUAUAAAAUCAUUAAUUUUAAGCAUAUCACCAAUAAUUCGAAAUAACUUCUCAUACGAUGCUCAAUUUUGGUAUAUGAAUAUACCACAUCGACCUACUCGACGUCACGAGCGUCGAGAAAUUUUCAGAAAAAAUUUUGGAAGCCCCACGCGCCCCCACGCGCCACACGUGGCACGGGUCCACGCGCUGGCCACGCGCAGCACGUGCAGCGCACAUGUCGUCUUCUUCGCAGGGCCUCGCCGGACUGGUUCUCCGGUGGCCGGACUCCGGCCGAACUCCGGCCGAUUUUCAAACUCACUGUUCUCCUUCGUUUUUCACCCAUUUUCUUCGUAUUUUAUACCAAAUUAAAGCCCUAAGAGUGUACUAUCACGUUGGACUAGUUUUAGGGCCUAAAAACUACGAAAUCUCACCUUGCAAAAACCAAAGAUUUCGGCCAAACUUGAAACCUACGAUCCCGACGUCCAAAACUCUCCAACGAAUGUCCCCGAGCUUCCUUAGGACCUCCUAAAGCUCACCACAAGCUUGAAAUCUCCUGAAACACAACAUUUUACGUUCGCAUGAACAGUACCUCAAAAAUGGAGGUUCGGGAUCUACGUGAAAUCGAAGGUUUCACUUCCUAAAACUAGCACCAAUGAACUCAGGACGUCAAAACGAUGAAGAUACAUACCUUAUUUGCCCCGAUCCGUUGAGUUUCGAAGGGUUUUGGGUGAAGGUCCGUACGAUAUGGGUGUGUUUGGGUGUGAGGUCGGGAGAGAGAGAGAGAGAGAGAGACUGAGAGAGUGAUCGAGAGGGAGGAGAGAAAGGGACUGAUCUUGUGUGGUCAAACCAAUCCACACCAUCCAAAAUCUCUCUUAAGUCCCUAACCACAAAAAUAUAAAAUCAACUUCCAAAAUAUUUCUAACUUAAACAACUUCUUAAAAGUUUAGGGACCAAACAUUUUCAAAACGUAAUACACCCAUACCUUGAUACCUGACAAGGGCAUUUUUGUCCUUUCACAUUCCCGCCAAAAGUACCUCCGGGACGGGCUGUGACAAUCUCCCCUCCUUAUAGAAUUUCGUCCCCGAAAUUCCCAUAACCAAAUCAUAAUUCAAUACUCGUAGAAUAAUCUUGGGUACAUCUCUCUCAUCCGGUCUUCCAUCUCCCAAGUAGCUUCCUCCACAGAAUGAUUUCUCCACAACACCUUCACCAAACUCACCGUCUUGUUCCUUAGAACCUUGUCCUUCCAAUCCAAUAUUGUGAUUGGUUCCUCAUCAUACGUCAAAUCCGGAUUAAUCUCUAACGGUUGAGGAGGAAUCACAUGAGAAGGAUCAGAAAUAUAAUGCCGAAGCAUAGAGACAUGGAACACAUUAUGGACCUUAGAUAACUCCGGAGGCAGUUCCAACCGGUAGGCAACUUCACCAACUCUUUCAAUGAUCACAUAAGGUCCAAUAUAUCUCGGACUUAGCUUCCCUCUUUUCCCAAAUCGUACCACACCUCUCCAAGGCGACAAUUUCAAGAAUACCCAAUCACCCACAUCAUACACUCGAUCAGUAGUAUGCCGAUCCGCUAAACUCUUAUGUCGAUCCUGGGCUGCUUUCAGGUUUGACUUAAUUACCUGAACAUUUUGAGUCGUCUCAUCCACGAUCUCAGGGCCUUCUAAUACCCGUUCACCAACCUCAGACCAACAUAAUGGCGUUCGACACGCCCUACCAUAAAGUGCCUCGAAUGGGGACAUACCAAUGCUCGAGUGAAAACUGUUAUUAUAAGCAAACUCCAUUAAGUCCAGACGAUCAUGCCAAGAAUCACCAAAUUGUAAUACCGAAGAUCUCAACAUAUCUUCCAACGUCUGAAUGGUCCUCUCUGAUUGCCCAUCAGUUUGAGGAUGAUAAGCUGUGCUAUACAGUAAUUGAGUACCCAGAGCUUCCUGAAAAGCCACCCAAAAUUUAGAAGUAAAUCUCGGGUCUCGAUCGGAGAUAAUAUUUACUGGGACUCCAUGAUACUUGACAAUCUUCGAAAUAAACAACUUAGCCAAUUUAUUCAGAGGGUAUUUCUCCCUCACUGGAAUGAAAUGCGCCGACUUGGUGAGUCGAUCCACAAUCACCCAAAUACCAUCAAAUCCAUUUCGCGUACGAGGAAGUUUAUACACGAAAUCCAUGGUUAUAUUUUCCCAUUUCCACUGGGGAACAGGAAGGGGUUGCAUUCGCCCAAAGGGCUUCUUCCUUUCUGCUUUCACUUGCUGGCAAAUAAUACACCUGCUCACAUAUUCUGCAAUUUCUCUUUUCAUACCCGGCCAAUAAUAAAAUGGUCGAAUGGUAUGAUACAUUUUUGUUCCUCCCGGAUGCAUCGCAUAAGCUGAACAAUGUGCUUCAUCCAGAAUUUCCUUCUUCAAUUCCUCAUUAUUCGGAACAUACAUUCUGUCUUCUUGCAUGAGCAUACCAUCUGAUUCCCGAAUUCUGAGGUCUUUCUUUUUCCCUUCACUUCUUAACUGAACCAACUCCUGAAUUUCUUCAUCCACCAUUUGAGAUGCAAGUAUACGCUCCACCAAAACUGGCCUGACUUGAAAACUAGCAAGAAAUGCUCCACCUUGAUUCUCCCACUCCAAUCUUACUCCAGUUGCCCUCAGUUCAGCAAGAAGAGGAACACGACUAGCAUAUAGGGCAUUAAGUCUACCUUGUGGUUUCCUACUCAGUGCAUCCGCUACUACAUUAGCACGACCUGGAUGGUAUUCAAUAGAACAAUCAUAAUCACUUAGCAAUUCCAUCCACCUUCGCUGACGAAGAUUAAGAUCAUGCUGGGUGAAUAAGUACUGAAGACUCUUAUGAUCAGUGAAGAUCUUACACUUCUCACCAUACAAAUAAUGUCUCCAAAUUUUCAAAGCAAAAACAAUUGCUGCCAAUUCAAGAUCGUGAGUAGGAUAGUUCCUUUCAUGAUUUUUCAACUGCCUAGAAGCAUAGGCAAUCACCUUAUUAUGCUGCAUCAAAACACAUCCCAAACCAUUUAAUGAAGCAUCACUAUAUAUCUCAAAAUUACCGCUAUCGUCGGGAAGUACCAACACCGGUGCAUGAGUGAGGCAAUACUUCAAUUGUUGAAAACUCCGCUCACAAUUCUCAUCCCCACUCAAAUUUAACAUCCUUCCUGGUCAACUUUGUCAACGGUAAAGCAAUCAUAGAGAAAUCCUGAACGAACCGUCGAUAAUAACCUGCUAAGCCAAGAAAGCUUCGUACCUCCGUGACGGUUCGAGGUUGCUCCCAAUUCUCCACUGCUGCAAUCUUUUGAGGAUCAACUUGAAUACCUUGAGCUGAUACCACAUGCCCCAAAAAUGCCACUUCAGUCAACCAAAACUGACAUUUACUGAACUUGGCAUACAACUGAUGCUCCCUUAAUUUCCUUAACACCAAAUUAAGGUGUCGGAUAUGAUCUGCUUGGGACUUAGAGUAUACCAGAAUAUCGUCAAUAAAAACAAUAACGAAUUUAUCAAGAUAUUUCUGGAAUACCUCAUUCAUUAAUCUCAUAAAAGCUGCAGGCGCAUUAGUCAACCCAAACGGCAUAACCGAAAAUUCAUAAUGUCCGUACCGAGUUCGGAAAGCCGUCUUAGGUACAUCAUCUUCUUUAAUCUUCAAUUGAUAAUAUCCAGAUCUCAAAUCAAUCUUAGAAAAUACACAUGCACCUUUCAGCUGAUCGAACAAAUCAUCAAUGCGAGGCAAUGGAUAACGGUUUUUAAUCGUUACCCGGUUCAAUUGUCUAUAAUCAAUACACAAUCGAAAAGUUCCAUCCUUCUUUCUCACAAAUAAUACUGGGGCACCCCAAGGUGAAGAACUAGGUUGAAUAAAACCUUUAUCAAGUAAUUCUUGCAACUGGAUUUUUAAUUCCCUCAACUCAGCAGGAGCCAUUCUAUAAGGAGUCAGAGAUAUAGGGUCCGUACCUGGAAGCAAAUCAAUAGAGAAUUCCACCUCCCUGUCUGGUGGUAAUCCCGGCAAAUCAUCAGGGAAUACAUCCGAAUAAUGUCUGACCACACCAACUUCUUCUAUACUAGUAGGAGCAACAUCAUUUAAUACCACAUGUGCCAAAUAUCCCUGACAACCCUUCGAUAAUAAUUUCCUCGCCCUUAUGGCAGAAAUAACUCCAUGUCUCACCCCAUUUCUCUCGCCCACAAAAGUAACCUCGGGUAAUCCAGGACGAUAAAAAGUAACUGAUUUACCAUAACAAUCAAUAUGGGCACGAUUAUGGUGUAACCAAUCGGCCCCUAAAAUCACAUCAAAAUCCACAAUAUCUAACGGAAUAAGAUCAGCGGACAUAAUCACGCCCUCAACCAUCACUGGACACCCCAGAUACACACUAUCCACAUAACAUUUAUCUCCUCUAGGCAUGGCAAACUCUAAAUCAAAUCCUAGAGGUGAAGGGUGAGGUUGGGUUAUUUGAGCAAACGUAUGAGAAAUCACAGAGUGCGUAGCACCACAAUCAAUCAAAACCUUAGCAAAAUGACCAAGAACAUUUAACGUACCCAUAAUCAAGUCUGGAUGGUUCUGAGCCUCCAGCAAGGAAAUAUGAUUAAUUCGCCCCUGAGCCUGCUGUCGUCCACCUCGGCCUCUAUUGCCCUGAUUACCUCGUCCCCGAGGAUUACGUCCCUGGCCUGGCUGACUAGGCUGCCUGGAUGAUCCUGCACCACCAGUAGCAACUUCCCCCUGACGGGGCUGGCCUCCCUGAUGCCACUGCGAUUCACCAGCUGGCAUAGAGGAAUAAGAUGAAUAACCUCCAAAAUCCUGAGAAUAUCCAGCCUGAGAGUAAGGCUCCUGGGAAUACUGAUAAGGUCCGGGAGCAUACGGAGCAGCAUCCCCCUGAUAGUGGUAAGCACCACCACGACUCGGCUGGCCAUAACCACCCGGUCCCAAAUUCUGCUGAACUGGUGCUGGAGGUGGUAUAGUGGUCUGCUGUGGUCUCUGUUGACCCUGGGGGCACUGAGAAGCCCGAUGUCCCAUCUGCCCACACGUAAAGCAGGCACCAGUACCUCUCCUACACUCACCAUGGUGACGGAAGUUACAACGGCGGCACCAUGGAGCGCCAGAUCCACCAGCAUCCCUCUGACCCUGAAAUCUGGGUCCACCAGAAAAUCUUCCACCACCUCUCCUCGGGCUAGUAAAACUAUAUCCCCCACUAGAAGAGCUCGAACUCGCUCCACUCUUCUUAAAACUCUGUGUCUGUCGAGGUCCCGGAAUAGAAAUACCCUUACCUUUGUCAUUCUUCUUCUGACCCUCAUUCUUGUCCUCGUCAUCCUCACUGUCAGGAAGAUUAUCAGAGUCCUCCAUCCUAACCAGAAUCUCGAAAUACUCAUGAUAAUCAGCGCAGGGGAGUGCAUUGGCAAAGGUACGCCACUUCUUCUUAGAUCCCAACUUGAAACGUCGAAGCAUCUCUCCCUGAUUACCAGCUGUAUCAGUGUCAUAACGAGACAAAUCAGUAAACUUUCUAUAAUAUUCAUGUGCCGACAUAUUUCUCUGUUUCAACCUGGUGAAUUCCUGCUUCUUACGGUCAAUAUACUCAGGAGGAACGAAUCUCUUCAUAAAAUGCUCCUUGAAUACUUUCCAGUCGGCUGCCGUCUCAGGUGACAUGUACCUAGCCUGAUUUAUCCACCAUGCUGCUGGUUCACGACCCAAAAACCAAGUGGUGGUCUCCACCCACCUAUUAGCAGGGAGAUUCCCCUGACUCUGCAUCACCUGGAAAGUUUUCUCAAUAUGAUCAAGCCAUUUCUCUGCCCCCUCAUGACUUUCAUUACCCAUAAACCGAUCUAACUUCAAGUUGUACAUGGUCUCCAGAGGUGUCCUCGGAGGAGGGGGAGGACGAAUCACAUUCUGUAAAGCCUGGGCCAUCGCUUCCCCUAACUGAGUAAUAUCCGGGAAAUUAGGUUCAGAAGUACGGCGGGACUCCCUACGCUCUCUACGAGGCGGCAUGAUUCUGACAGAAAACAUCAAAAGAUCGUUAAGACAUUAACAAAUUUACAGGACUGCAACCUAAGCUCUGAUACCAAACUGACACACCCUGAUCCGGAGGAUCCAGGUGUGCUGGCCGUCACGUGGGCGUGACGUAACCAUAAGCACGACACGGAAGCGUAAUAACAACAUAUAACAACAGAAAUUCAAACCGAACUCAACAUAACCACAUACGGACAUAACCGGACGAGUUUACAAGUAAACACAUAAGUUCAGAGCAUAGGUUAUCUGCAGUCAAGUAGGACUAAAAUAAGAAUACAUCACCCUCAGGUGAGUCCUACAUGUCCCAAAUCUGUCAGAAAGCCGGAAAGGACCUCGUGAGCCAACCACCGUUAAACUAGAACCUGGAGGGGCGCAAAACAAAAUGAGUGGGUCAGUAAAAACAAAUUAGUUUUUCCAAAACAUUUCAUUAAAAACAGUUAUAUCCCCUCGCCGUAAAAACCUGUAUACUUUCCCAAAAAAUUAUAUAACCAUAUAAAAUCUCAACAUUUAAAUCUCAAAUCUUUAACAUUUUUCAAGAAAACAUGCCAUGCCAUAAAUCAAAAUAUAAAUCAGGUGAAAUAAGGAAUCAAUCGGAGACCCUGCAGUUGGUCCUAUACGAUUAAUUCAAUAGCUCAAUAUCUCACUAAGCCGGAGUCACCACAGUGACCUAUACGGCCCUACUCUGCACAUCACUCGGAACUACGUAAGGUAGUCUAUACGAUGAAAGGUGUAAAAAUACGCUCUAGUGCUUCUCUCAUCAUAUCAUCAGCGCGCAUAACUAAGGUCACCCACUAGUCGGAAUCACGCCUAGUGAUCUGUACGACUAGCAUGUCGGAACCCUCACAUGGUCUGUACGACAUCCACCUACUUGGAUCCAAGGCGAGCGUGCGGUGUGGUGAAUAAUAUAAGCACUAACACCUAGGGUGCAGAUUAUGAGCUCAACACAUCUCAACAACAACAAUUCAAUGAAUAAAUGAACUCACCUGACUUACCUGUGCCUCCACAGCACCAUGCAACAUGUAUGCAUCAUAUAUCAAUCAUAUAACUCAUGUGAAAUUCACCUUUUCCAAAUAAUUCUAUGCAUGGCAUUUUAAAAACGUUUUCUCAUAUAAAUGCAUUUUCUGGGAAAACAAUAGCAUAUAGGUAAUACGAAAACAAAACUGCCCACUCACUGAUAAGUCGACGGGUCGUAACCCCCGUGGCGUCCCUGGAUGCGGUCGUCCUCGGGAUACGUCUCACCUAUAUGCGAAACAACUAUAAAAUCAUUAAUUUUAAGCAUAUCACCAAUAAUUCGAA